GAUUUGACCAUUCCGAUUUCGAUUUCAAGUCAUUUCGAUUCUCAUUCCCAUUCCGAUUGUAAUUACGAACCAAAUACUCCCUUGAUUUCUUCCCUGACAAACCAUCACAUUUUAUUGCGUUGUUACUGUAAACUGAAUAUUUAUUUCAAUCAAAUUGCUUCGUUCAAGCUGAAGAAGACCUGAGGCAGUGCAAUGGUAGAUAAAAGAAUAAGAUGUUAUUGGUGUUUCAUCGUGCCAAUUGUACUUACUAAUCAUCCCAAUCUGACGGUAGUGGGAUCACCUUAAACUAAUGCAAUAAACAAGCUGUAAA
Molecule: long non-coding RNA, 310 nt
Filed under: Elaeis guineensis (African oil palm)
Lineage: Eukaryota; Viridiplantae; Streptophyta; Magnoliopsida; Arecales; Arecaceae
Description: long non-coding RNA (EGUI_LNC024009)
Source: RNAcentral